GCUCAGAUUGAACGCUGGCGGCAGGCUUAACACAUGCAAGUCGAGCGGAGAUGAGGUGCUUGCACCUUAUCUUAGCGGCGGACGGGUGAGUAAUGCUUAGGAAUCUGCCUAUUAGUGGGGGACAACAUUCCGAAAGGAAUGCUAAUACCGCAUACGUCCUACGGGAGAAAGCAGGGGAUCUUCGGACCUUGCGCUAAUAGAUGAGCCUAAGUCGGAUUAGCUAGUUGGUGGGGUAAAGGCCUACCAAGGCGACGAUCUGUAGCGGGUCUGAGAGGAUGAUCCGCCACACUGGGACUGAGACACGGCCCAGACUCCUACGGGAGGCAGCAGUGGGGAAUAUUGGACAAUGGGGGGAACCCUGAUCCAGCCAUGCCGCGUGUGUGAAGAAGGCCUUAUGGUUGUAAAGCACUUUAAGCGAGGAGGAGGCUACUGAGACUAAUACUCUUGGAUAGUGGACGUUACUCGCAGAAUAAGCACCGGCUAACUCUGUGCCAGCAGCCGCGGUAAUACAGAGGGUGCGAGCGUUAAUCGGAUUUACUGGGCGUAAAGCGUGCGUAGGCGGCUUUUUAAGUCGGAUGUGAAAUCCCCGAGCUUAACUUGGGAAUUGCAUUCGAUACUGGGAAGCUAGAGUAUGGGAGAGGAUGGUAGAAUUCCAGGUGUAGCGGUGAAAUGCGUAGAGAUCUGGAGGAAUACCGAUGGCGAAGGCAGCCAUCUGGCCUAAUACUGACGCUGAGGUACGAAAGCAUGGGGAGCAAACAGGAUUAGAUACCCUGGUAGUCCAUGCCGUAAACGAUGUCUACUAGCCGUUGGGGCCUUUGAGGCUUUAGUGGCGCAGCUAACGCGAUAAGUAGACCGCCUGGGGAGUACGGUCGCAAGACUAAAACUCAAAUGAAUUGACGGGGGCCCGCACAAGCGGUGGAGCAUGUGGUUUAAUUCGAUGCAACGCGAAGAACCUUACCUGGCCUUGACAUACUAGAAACUUUCCAGAGAUGGAUUGGUGCCUUCGGGAAUCUAGAUACAGGUGCUGCAUGGCUGUCGUCAGCUCGUGUCGUGAGAUGUUGGGUUAAGUCCCGCAACGAGCGCAACCCUUUUCCUUACUUGCCAGCAUUUCGGAUGGGAACUUUAAGGAUA
This 1131-nucleotide ribosomal RNA is filed under the name Acinetobacter junii. RNAcentral's name for it is "bacterial SSU rRNA". It matches the Rfam family "Bacterial small subunit ribosomal RNA", at positions 22 to 1148 of the family's 1533-position model. Lineage: Bacteria; Pseudomonadati; Pseudomonadota; Gammaproteobacteria; Moraxellales; Moraxellaceae. The record is from RNAcentral.